UUUUUUUGCAUCAGACUCUGCGUUUUUGAGCAGAGAAUUGUGGAGUGAAGCCAGAAUCUUCAAACUAUUUGUGCCGACGGUUAAAAUUAAUCAACCACAGAACCCAAUAGUCGUCAUCUUGACGUACAUGCGAAGCGGGUCAACUCUUCUCGGAGAAGUGUUUAGAGAACACAACAACACUAUCUACUUAUUCGAACCCCUACGACUGCUGCAAAGUCUCAAAGACAAAUUGUCAAGUGAAGAAAUUGAGGAACAAAAACUUAGAUGGAUACAUCAUUUUUCAAAGUGCAAUUUCAGCGAUAUUCUUUCGGAUAUCAAAACUUCAAACUCGACAAAAAGGAGCAAAUUCGGCCUUGACCUUACAAUGAGUUCUCUGCCUCGAGUUUCAAAGAAGGACGGCAGUUUUUAUUCAGAUCUGGUUUCGAUGUCUGACCUCUCAAACAAAUGCAACAGCAGCCAAACAAUUCCGGUCAUCAAAACAAUCCGACUGAACCUCACGGAUUUCUCGGAAUACAUGAGAAAAAACGAAGGCG
Molecule: long non-coding RNA, 533 nt
Organism: Symsagittifera roscoffensis
Lineage: Eukaryota; Metazoa; Xenacoelomorpha; Acoela; Convolutidae
Exons: 3
Source: RefSeq, a predicted model, not a curated record